UCUCCGUAGGUGAACCUGCGGAGGGAUCAUUACCGAGUGAGGGCUCACGCCCGACCUCCAACCCUUUGUGAACACAUCUUGUUGCUUCGGGGGCGACCCUGCCGCUUCGGCGGUGCGGCGCCCCCGGAGGCCAUUAAACACUGCAUCUCUUGCGUCGGAGUCUUAAAGAAAUUUAAACAAAACUUUCAACAACGGAUCUCUUGGUUCUGGCAUCGAUGAAGAACGCAGC
This 229-nucleotide unclassified non-coding RNA is filed under the name uncultured fungus. RNAcentral describes it as "sequence contains ITS1, 5.8S rRNA gene". The stretch from base 181 to 229 matches the Rfam family "5.8S ribosomal RNA", at positions 1 to 49 of the family's 154-position model. The record is from RNAcentral. Lineage: Eukaryota; Fungi.